CAGUCGCCACGGUAAUACGAAGGGUGCAAGCGUCACUCGGAAUUACUGGGCGUAAAGCGUGCGUAGGUGGUGGUUUAAGUCCGUUGUGAAAGCCCUGGGCUCAACCUGGGAAUGGCAAUGGAUACUGGCAAGCUAGAGUGUGUCAGAGGAUGGUGGAAUUCCCGGUGUAGCGGUGAAAUGCGUAGAGAUCGGGAGGAACAUCAGUGGCGAAGGCGGCCAUCUGGGACAACACUGACGCUGAGGCACGAAAGCGUGGGGAGCAAACAGGAUUAGAUACCCGGGUAGUCCCUGUCUCUUAUAC
Molecule: ribosomal RNA, 301 nt
Filed under: uncultured bacterium
Lineage: Bacteria
Description: partial 16S ribosomal RNA
Rfam family: Bacterial small subunit ribosomal RNA
Source: RNAcentral